GACGAACGCUGGCGGCGUGCUUAACACAUGCAAGUCGAGCGAGGCCCCUCCUUCGGGAGGGUGUCCUAGCGGCGAACGGGUGAGUAACACGUGGGCAACCUGCCCCCGGCUCUGGGAUACCUCCAAGAAAUUGGGGCUAAUACCGGAUAUGACCGCUGACCGCAUGGUCUGGUGGUGGAAAGAUGUAUCGGCUGGGGAUGGGCCCGCGGCCUAUCAGCUUGUUGGUGGGGUAGUGGCCUACCAAGGCGCCGACGGGUAGCCGGCCUGAGAGGGUGACCGGCCACACUGGGACUGAGACACGGCCCAGACUCCUACGGGAGGCAGCAGUGGGGAAUAUUGCGCAAUGGGCGGAAGCCUGACGCAGCGACGCCGCGUGGGGGAUGACGGCCUUCGGGUUGUAAACCUCUUUCAGCAGGGACGAAGCGAAAGUGACGGUACCUGCAGAAGAAGCACCGGUCAACUACGUGCCAGCCGCCGCCGUAA
RNAcentral lists this ribosomal RNA (483 nucleotides) under uncultured bacterium. RNAcentral describes it as "partial 16S ribosomal RNA". It matches the Rfam family "Bacterial small subunit ribosomal RNA", at positions 28 to 523 of the family's 1533-position model. The record is from RNAcentral.